UAGGGAAUAUUGCAAAAUGGGCGAAAGCCCGAAGCAGCAACGCCGCGUGGGCGAUGAAGGCCUUCGGGUCGUAAAGCCCUUUUUGAGGGGAUGAGGAAGGACAGUACCCUCAGAAUAAGCCUCGGCUAACUACGUGCCAGCAGCCGCGGUAAAACGUAGGAGGCGAGCGUUAUCCGGAUUUACUGGGCGUAAAGCGCGUGCAGGCGGAUUGGAGAGUUGGAUGUGAAAGCUCCCGGCUUAACUGGGAGAGGUCGUUCAAUACUUCCAGGCGUGAGUGCAGUAGAGGGAAGUGGAAUUCCGGGUGUAGUGGUGAAAUGCGUAGAUAUCCGGAGGAACACCAGUGGCGAAAGCGGCUUCCUGGACUGUAACUGACGCUCAGACGCGAAAGCUAGGGUAGCAAACG
RNAcentral lists this ribosomal RNA (403 nucleotides) under uncultured bacterium. RNAcentral's name for it is "bacterial SSU rRNA". It matches the Rfam family "Bacterial small subunit ribosomal RNA", at positions 355 to 774 of the family's 1533-position model. The record is from RNAcentral.